This 301-nucleotide ribosomal RNA is filed under the name uncultured bacterium. RNAcentral describes it as "partial 16S ribosomal RNA". It matches the Rfam family "Bacterial small subunit ribosomal RNA", at positions 509 to 807 of the family's 1533-position model. The record is from RNAcentral.
CAGCCGCCACGGGAAUACGUAGGGUCCGAGCGUUGUCCGGAAUUACUGGGCGUAAAGAGCUCGUAGGUGGUUUGUCGCGUUGUUCGUGAAAACUCACAACUCAAUUGUGGGCGUGCGGGCGAUACGGGCAGACUGGAGUACUGCAGGGGAGACUGGAAUUCCUGGUGUAGCGGUGGAAUGCGCAGAUAUCAGGAGGAACACCGGUGGCGAAGGCGGGUCUCUGGGCAGUAACUGACGCUGAGGAGCGAAAGCGUGGGGAGCGAACAGGAUUAGAUACCCCAGUAGUCCCUGUCUCUUAUAC